This 378-nucleotide long non-coding RNA is filed under the name Cucumis sativus (cucumber). RNAcentral describes it as "long non-coding RNA (CSAT_LNC001221)". The record is from RNAcentral. Lineage: Eukaryota; Viridiplantae; Streptophyta; Magnoliopsida; Cucurbitales; Cucurbitaceae.
UCAAACAUUUAUUCGAAGUCUCCUACUAAAACUUUAAUUCAUAAGUCAAAUCAAAUUACAACUUAAUCCCAGUUGUAACAGAUAAUGUAGAAAGAUACUUUAAAUUCAGAGGUGAAGGUUUCAAGAAUAAGAACACACAUACUACAAUUCCAAAGGUGAAAGAACUGAAGGUCUCAAGAAUAUGGAAGAAACAUACUAAAAUCCGAACUGAAGGUCUCAAGAAUAUGUCCAGAGUGGCCUCAUGCAACGUUAAUCUGAGGUAGCGGCUCCUUGGUUGAGCUCAGCAAAUCUCAUUCCAACGCGCAUUGAGUGCUUCAAGAACUUCUCGGCACACCUACGUACACAUGUUUCCUCUUGCUUGGUCAAGGAUUUUCGCUG